GUGGAGCAUGUGGCUUAAUUUGACUCAACGCGGGGAAUCUUACUAGGUCCGGACCGAGUCUAUGAACGUCGUACCGUUGGGUGCUACGUGAUUACUGGAUGAGUGGUGCAUGGCCGUUCUUAGUUCGUGGUGUUAAUUGUCUACUUAAUUGUUAUCGUUCCCGUAUCUCACGGUACGGAGCGCAUAACGAACGAGAUCGAGACCCGUCGAUACGGGGAUCGCGUAAUUACUCUCACGGUACGAUCGAAAGACUCGGCAAUAACAGGUCUGUGAUGCCCUCAGAUGUUCUAGGCUGCACACGUGCUACAUUGUGGUUUCGUUUGUAUGCGUAGAUAUAUCUAAGAUCCCCCGCAUCGAGUCUCAAUUACUCACGUGGUUGGACUCACCGAUUGUUGUAAUUAUUCGGUAUACUAA
This 414-nucleotide ribosomal RNA is filed under the name Amphistegina lobifera. Its description in RNAcentral is "SSU rRNA". It matches the Rfam family "Eukaryotic small subunit ribosomal RNA", at positions 1176 to 1607 of the family's 1831-position model. The record is from RNAcentral. Lineage: Eukaryota; Foraminifera; Rotaliida; Amphisteginidae.